RNAcentral lists this ribosomal RNA (305 nucleotides) under uncultured bacterium. RNAcentral describes it as "partial 16S ribosomal RNA". It matches the Rfam family "Bacterial small subunit ribosomal RNA", at positions 506 to 809 of the family's 1533-position model. The record is from RNAcentral.
ACAGCAGUAGCCGCGGUAAUACGUAGGGUGCAAGCGUUAAUCGGAAUUACUGGGCGUAAAGCGUGCGCAGGCGGUUAUAUAAGACAGAUGUGAAAUCCCCGGGCUCAACCUGGGAACUGCAUUUGUGACUGUAUAGCUAGAGUACGGCAGAGGGGGAUGGAAUUCCGCGUGUAGCAGUGAAAUGCGUAGAUAUGCGGAGGAACACCGAUGGCGAAGGCAAUCCCCUGGGCCUGUACUGACGCUCAUGCACGAAAGCGUGGGGAGCAAACAGGAUUAGAUACCCCGGUAGUCCCUGUCUCUUAUAA